Molecule: ribosomal RNA, 496 nt
Filed under: uncultured bacterium
Lineage: Bacteria
Description: bacterial SSU rRNA
Rfam family: Bacterial small subunit ribosomal RNA
Source: RNAcentral
UCAGAGAGUUGAUCCUGGCGUAGGACGAACGCUGGCGGCGUGCUUAACACAUGCAAGUCGAGCGAUGAAGCUUCUUCGGAAGUGGAUAGCGGCGGACGGGUGAGUAACACGUGGGUAACCUGCCUCAUAGAGGGGAAUAGCCUUUCGAAAGGAAGAUUAAUACCGCAUAAGAUUGUAGUGCCGCAUGGUACAGCAAUUAAAGGAGUAAUCCGCUAUGAGAUGGACCCGCGUCGCAUUAGCUAGUUGGUGAGGUAACGGCUCACCAAGGCGACGAUGCGUAGCCGACCUGAGAGGGUGAUCGGCCACAUUGGGACUGAGACACGGCCCAGACUCCUACGGGAGGCAGCAGUGGGGAAUAUUGCACAAUGGGGGAAACCCUGAUGCCAGCAACGCCGCGUGAGUGAUGACGGUCUUCGGAUUGUAAAGCUCUGUCUUUAGGGACGAUAAUGACGGUACCUAAGGAGGAAGCCACGGCUAACUACGUGCCAGCCGCGGC